GGGUCUGUAGCUCAGCUGGUUAGAGCACUCGCCUGAUAAGCGAGAGGUCACCUGUUCGAGUCGGGUCAGACCCA
Molecule: transfer RNA, 74 nt
Filed under: Bacillota bacterium
Lineage: Bacteria; Bacillati; Bacillota
Also listed under: 5 other names
Description: tRNA-Ile
Rfam family: tRNA
About the family: Transfer RNA (tRNA) molecules are approximately 80 nucleotides in length. Their secondary structure includes four short double-helical elements and three loops (D, anti-codon, and T loops).
Source: RNAcentral